Molecule: RNA transcript, 3941 nt
Organism: Folsomia candida
Lineage: Eukaryota; Metazoa; Arthropoda; Collembola; Entomobryomorpha; Isotomidae
Exons: 3
Source: RefSeq, a predicted model, not a curated record
AUAAUCAUGUUGAUGUUCUCAAUAGCAUUGCAAACCUACUUUACCGGAAAACGACUUCAUUCACUUCGGGGGAAUACAACAUUGCAUCUUUUAUUUCUGCCGCGAACGAAAAAAACUUCGGUGGCAUAAAGUUCUCCAUCCAUUCAUGGGAGAACAACAGAACUUGGAUUUCAUUUAUUGACCCUACCAAGGAAUAUACUUUCUCUUUAUCGCAGAACUUGUGCAAAACUUUAGGGUACACACGUUGUAUCUUCCCUGGUAGUGGGAAUUACCCGUCAGAAAUGUCCCAAAUUGAUGUAGGUCGACCACCACAUAAUGAAUUAUGGACGUUAUUUUUUCAUAAAUGGACUACAAAGAAAAUUGUCACUACAGUAAAUUCAACUCUGGAGAAGUCAAUUGAAUGUCUCUCAAAUCAGACUGAUGGUGCAGUAAAAGUGCUUCUGUCAUGUGACGGAACUAAAUUUGCAAUCCAUAAGUCCAACUCAAGUUUGUAUUUACAAUUCACUGAAGACUUCAAUCUCCAAUUUGGUUUGGAUCCGGUAUUAAUUGGCUCCACAUUGACAAUUCUUGACAAAAAUUCCACAUCGGCACACCCCUUUACUCUCAAAGACGAAUGGAAUAAAUGCAGCAAAAAUCUUACCAUUGUUUCCUUGACUAGUUCAUCUGAAACAUUUAUGAAAGGAGACGCAAUUUCUCUCCUCGGUUUAAUUCAAAGUAUAAACCGCCGUUUUAUUAAAUCGCCAUUUUUUAUGAAUAUUACAAUCUCAAGUUCCAAAAAUCAACCAACUUCAAUAAUAACGUUUUUGGAUCAAUUCGAUAAAUAUAUAAUAACUUUCUCAGAAGAAUUAAGUCAAGUUUUGGGUAUUAACCAAACCCAGUUUCAUGCAAGUGGAGAAUAUACUGGGAGUACUUCAGCUGACGACGAAAUAUUCAAUGGGCUUGAUCCGGAUCAGGAAUUUAUUAUUACGCUUACUCAGAAAGCUAUACAGCGUAUCCAUAUCCCACCACCUCAAUACAUGUCGUAUCCCUCAACAGUGAAGACCAUAAACAACGCUCUACAAUCCUUUGGCUCGCACAAAAUUGCUUUAACUAUUUCUCAAGACUUUGAAAAUUUGGAGAUAAAUAUUUUCACAAAUUUAUCUGUGACUUUCUCCCCUUGCUUAAAUAAACUUUUUCACAUGAAACCAUUUGACUCCUUUACAAGUUCUUCAACAUCAAUUCAACUACCUCCGAUUCUCCUCCCCAAAGAUAUAAACACAACGCCACAAAUAAUCCCAUCAACUUCUCAAAAUGCAGAAGAGGAGGAGGAGUCAGGUACCGCCAUGGAUACAUCACCGGACGAUGCUGUUGAUGAUAAUACUAGUAUACAAGUGGAGGAUGAUGCUCGUAAAGUUCCAACUAGUCAAGACCAACGUAAAUGCUACACCAUAAUUAACGAAAUCCUUCCAACGAAGCGAUGGUUGAACACCCUUUCAAAAAAACAGUAUAUAGAAAUAGUACACCGAUGCGGUAAAAAAACAAAAAAAAGCAACUUGGACAAGAUGGAUGGUUACAUGACUUUGAUUGUUGACAUAGGAACUUAUAAAACGGAUUUCAUAAUACAACCAGCCUUAGUUUUUUCCAGCGAUUUAAGCAAGGUUGUACCAACUCGUCGAGUUUUACCCGAUGAAGCACUCGAGUGGUAUAUAGUUAUUGGAACCGCAGACACGGAGAAUGUGAAUCAAGAAAUAACCGAACCAUUUGUGGAACAUAUAUACAGCUCAGUAGCAGGCUAUAGCAACGCAAUUCCUUAUGAAAAUUAUCACCCUACUGCUAUACUGCUCCUAUACUUUAAAUUUAAGGAUCGUCGGAAGAUGAAGAGAUUUGCAUUGAGUAAGAGAACUUUAGGUGUCGACACAGAAUUCGUGCCAAUGCAACUAACUCCAGAUCUCUUGGCCUUAAUAAAGGAACAUGCGAUUGAUUUGUUUGUUUACGGGCAAGGAUGCGGGCCCACCCAUGGAAAAAUAAUUCAAAAGAUGUACGAGGGGUAUCCAGAGGAUCGUGUUGACAACAUAUUUGCAACUAGAACCGUUAUACCUUUUCACGAACAAGAUAUUUUGCAGACAUACAGUAGAUGCACCGAUAGCAUUCACCCAUUUCAAAUAUCAUCGUUUGCAGACACUGACGAAACACCAGGGGAAACAAAUAAGUGCUCUCCUAAUUCCGAAAUCAUAUAUGAAUUCGAUCUUAUUGGAAAGUCUUUAUAGUCGACCGCACAGAAGGCAAUACUCAAUGUUUGGGUUUCUUUGCGGCAAGGAAAAACGAACCCAUCUAUUCUAGAAGGUACUCCCAGGGAAGUGGCGGCUCGACUUGCAGGAGUAACAGAAGCCCGGCAGCCGUCACCUUACCAUAAACCAAUAAUUUAAGUACAAAAUUACUAUCUAUAGGUCCUCGUCUGAUUGUUAUGUCAGCCCUCACCGAAGAUGGUAUAAUCCCCGAACUUGUUCUCGUAUACAAAGUGUCAAAAUCCCAGACUGCAAGCGAUUAUCAUGACAAUGUAAAUACCCAAACGUUUCAAUCGUGGUAUAUAAAGUUGUUGGAUUAUCUCGACAGGACAAAUGAAAAAUGGAUCAUAAUAAUGGACAAUGCUUCAUAUCAUUCCACCAAAAUUUUACCAAGGAAAUCAGAAAGGAAAGAAGUUCUUUACAAUUUCUUGCAGAAAUAUACAACAAUGCCUGGUCUAAAUAUUAAAUUGCCCUCUGAUAUGAAAGCAAUAAGAAAAUUUGAGCUGGAAGAUAUGCUGGAAAAGUAGCUCGGUUGCCGGAAAUGCGGGAUGAAUUAUAUACAAUCGACAAAUUGACGAAACAGCGGGGUCACAGGGUUUUAAGGUUGCCACCUUACAACUGUGAUCUUAAUCCAAUCAUUAAGAUAUCUUUUGCAUGACCUAGAGGUGCUGGAAAGACACAAAACACAAUACCAAACGAAGGAAUCACAACAAAAACUUAGAUGACAUCAAGUUGAUAAUGCAAGAAGAAUUAAAGAAUUAUGACAAAACCCUAGCUAAAAAUCACUUUAAACAUACUAAGAGGUUAGAAAAUAAGUAUUGGGAGGAGGAUGGAAUACUAGAAGAAACACAUACUUCUCCAAUUAUAAUAACAGAAGAAGAUGAAGAUAGUGGUGAUGAAGAUAGCGAUCAAGAAGACUGCAUAGCGCGAGCUACAACUGUUGUAAUGGAGAAUGGCGACCAGGUUGAUCAUGGAGGAGACUUGUCCCUCUGGGAUUGCGACUGGGCGUACGACAUAUUUGAAAGGGAACUUGAGAUAGGAAAUUAUAUGGUAGACACAACAGCUACUCGUGGCAGAGGAAGAGGUAGAAGAGGCAGAUGCCGUCAGUGCCCACUUUAGAUGCACAAUAACAAAAAUCAUAAAUAUUUAUUUGCUAGAUUUUACGGUAACAAUUUUAUGUUGAGUGUAUUCAUUACGAGUUAGCACGUUCGUAUCGUAGCAUUUUGAAACAAAAAUGGAAAAUAAUUACCAGCCGUGCAGAUGCACAAGUUUGUAGAUGAAUUUUUAAGCCAAAAAUUUUGGAUGUUCAUUAAUAAUCUCUAGUGUUAUUUUAAAAUUUGUGUUGGAAUUCAAUUAUUCAAUAGCUUGUAAUUAAAUCUAACUUUGUAACCAGCAUUGUAAUUUUGUAAUUUAAGCAAUAUUGGGAACGAAAUUAUAAUUUGAAAUUUGCGUACCAAGUAAUUUAACGAGCUCUGACACAUGCUAAUAUCAAUUUUUUUGUUAUUUUGUAAACAUUUUUCGAAGUUAUCAUUAAUAAAAGUUAAUUGAUUGAACGCACGGACGCACAGCAAAGGUUAAAAUGCUCUAGUUAUAAAGAAAAAUUGGUUAAUUUGUAUAGUAAUUGUAAAUUGGUAAUAUAAUAAUGCAAGUAAAUAAAAAUUUAUAGUGCAAAAAUAA